UUAACACAUGCAAGUCGAGCGGAAACGGGAACUUAGCUUGCUAAGUUUGAUGUCGACCGGCGGAUGGGUGAGUAACACGUGUCCAAUAUGCCGUUAAGUAGGGAAUUGCCUUGCGAAAAUAAGAUAAUACCCUACUUGGUGUUUCGAGGACAUCUGAAGAUCACCAAAGGAUUUACCGCAACGAUGGGGAUGCGUCUGAUUAGGUUGUUGGCGGGGCAACGGCCCACCAGGCCUACGAUCGGUAGGGGUUGUGAGAGGAAGGUCCGCCACAUUGGGACUGAGAUACGGCCCAAACUCCUACGGGAGGCAGCAGUGGGGAAUAUUGGGCAAUGGGCGUAAGCCUGACCCAGCCAAGUAGCGUGCGGGAUGAAGGCCCUAUGGGUUGUAAACCGCUUUUGCGCGGGGGCAAAGUGCGCCACGUGUGAUUCUUUGUAUGUACCCUGCGAAUAAGGACCGGCUAACUACGUGCCAACAGCCGCGGUAA
This 484-nucleotide ribosomal RNA is filed under the name uncultured eubacterium WJGRT-195. RNAcentral's name for it is "bacterial SSU rRNA". It matches the Rfam family "Bacterial small subunit ribosomal RNA", at positions 48 to 523 of the family's 1533-position model. The record is from RNAcentral.